This 486-nucleotide ribosomal RNA is filed under the name uncultured bacterium. Its description in RNAcentral is "bacterial SSU rRNA". It matches the Rfam family "Bacterial small subunit ribosomal RNA", at positions 28 to 507 of the family's 1533-position model. The record is from RNAcentral.
GAUGAACGCUGGCGGCGUGCCUAACACAUGCAAGUCGAGCGAGAUGCUUCUGAUAGAUUCUUCGGAUGAUAGAUGAAGCGGAAAGCGGCGGACGGGUGAGUAACGCGUAGGCAACCUGCCCUUCACAGAGGGAUAGCCUCGGGAAACCGGGAUUAAAACCUCAUAAUGCCAUAGGAAGACAUCUUCUCUUGGCCAAAGAUUUAUCGGUGAAGGAUGGGCCUGCGUCUGAUUAGUUAGUUGGUGGGGUAACGGCCUACCAAGGCGACGAUCAGUAGCCGACCUGAGAGGGUGAUCGGCCACAUUGGAACUGAGACACGGUCCAAACUCCUACGGGAGGCAGCAGUGGGGAAUAUUGCACAAUGGGGGAAACCCUGAUGCAGCAACGCCGCGUGAAGGAAGAAAGGCCUUCGGUCGGUAAACUUACUGUCCUUGGGUAAGAAACGAAAUAGACGGUACCCUUCGGAGGAAGCCCGGCUAACUAACGUG